UACGUAGGUGGCAAGCGUUGUCCGGAUUUACUGGGCGUAAAGAGCGCGCAGGCGGUCGGAUAAGUCGAAUGUGAAAGCCCCCGGCUCAACUGGGGAGGGUCACGCGAUACUGCUCGACUCGAAGGCAGGAGAGGGAAGUGGAAUUCCCGGUGUAGUGGUGAAAUGCGUUGAGAUCGGAAGGAACGCCCGUGGCGAAAGCGAGUUCCUGGACGUCGGCUGACGCUGAGACGCGAAAGCCAGGGGAGCGAACGGG
RNAcentral lists this ribosomal RNA (253 nucleotides) under uncultured bacterium. RNAcentral's name for it is "partial 16S ribosomal RNA". It matches the Rfam family "Bacterial small subunit ribosomal RNA", at positions 524 to 776 of the family's 1533-position model. The record is from RNAcentral.